GGAAAUUUCUCUUUACGGGGGGGUUUCUGCGAGUUCCAUUAUUUGGAAAUAACAGCAGCACCGUGUCUCCUCCCCCACAAGCUGAACCUUUGCCUUCCAGUUGUUUUUCUUAUCCAGUCAAACAACGGGCUACAUCAUUCUCCCUCAUUUGUUUUACCCUAAAUUAAUUUUUUUAAUAGAACUCUUUUGAUUACAGGGUCUAGGAAUUUUUCAUAUUCCAAUUUCCAGUUCGAUCUUGGCUGAGAAAGAAAAUGAUGAGAAGCCGAUUGGAAAAUCAGCGGCAUGAGGAUCAGUAUUCGAGGGCUUUCCACGAGCUGUGGGGACUGGUUAUGAGCCUUCUACGAUCGCCGCUAGCUCCGGUUCCUUCCGCCAGCCAAUCACCGGCGUUGUCCACAAGCCCUCAUUCCCCACCAGUACCGACAAUGAAGAAGAUAUCACCGUCCGGAUUCGCUUUGCUGAUGUUAGGGACAUCGGUUUCGUUGAUGCUGUGUGGAUCAGUUACUUUCUUUAUAGGAUUCAUGUUGAUGCCUUGGCUUCUUUGUUUGGUCAUGGUUCUUUACAUUGCUGGAAUUGUUUCUGCGGUUUCCAUGUUAUGUCGUUCUACUAUUUGUUAUGCCAUGGCCCCUCUGCUGCGGCGGAAGGAAAUUCCUGGUCUUUUACAGAGCAGGAAUUAAAUCCCUAGAAUUUGCAGAAUAGAGCUUCGUAAUGAACGACUGGCUUUCAAGCAUAUGACAAAAAUUGCUGGUGUGGAAGAAGGCAAUAGCUAGUAGUGGAUUGUUUAUACAGUUGUUGGCUGAUCAAACUAGCUGAAUUUGAUGAAUAAUAUGGCAGCAAACUAGGCAUUGCAGAGUGGAAGCUGAUGCGGGUGAUUGGUGCUGCAUAUACAAGAGAGUUUAGCAGGUUUCUUCAAGUAUUAAUGCUGAUUAUAUUCUUGGUCUAGUUGAAGCAUUUAACUCAUCAAUGAGUGUUCUUAUUUGCCACUGGAAAUGGGAUGCUUCCCUUCUCAGGUGCUAUCCAAAAUGGAAAUGAAUAUGAGAAAGAUUCAAGAAAUUGAGCUUUCUUAAUAAGCCUUUUGAUUUUAAAAGAUGCAUGGCUUGUAUAAUAUUAGAGAUUAUGAAACUCAUCCUAAACUUGUCUCCAAUCUGAGUUCCAGUUGAAGGGUAUUUCUAGGGACAUGUUGCUUCAGCGAUAAGGUGAUGGGAUUGGGAUGGGAGGACUGAAUAAGAUAUCAUAGGGAUUAUUUGCAACAUCAACUUUUCUGCA
Molecule: long non-coding RNA, 1263 nt
Organism: Gossypium raimondii (Peruvian cotton)
Lineage: Eukaryota; Viridiplantae; Streptophyta; Magnoliopsida; Malvales; Malvaceae
Exons: 4
Source: RefSeq, a predicted model, not a curated record